This is a long non-coding RNA of Saccostrea cuccullata (small rock oyster), 849 nucleotides long. RefSeq lists it as uncharacterized. NCBI's taxonomy places the organism in Eukaryota, Metazoa, Mollusca, Bivalvia, Ostreida, Ostreidae. The record is from RefSeq and is a predicted model, not a curated record. The transcript has 3 exons.
GGCAACAACUGGGCAACAAAACAACCCAAUGUGGUCGAUUGUAAAGAAAUACAGAAUAACAGCUUCCAACUUUGGUGCAGUUCUCAGUUCUAAGCAAAGGCGAAUGACAUUGUCACUGAAGAAACGGCUUAUGUCGGCUUACAAUCUGGAGUCCAUCAAGGCUGUUGCAUGGGGUAUCACUCAUGAAGAUGAUGCUUUGAGAAAGUAAGAAAAGGACUUUGAUGCAGCUGUAAAGCAGUCAGGGAUAUGGUUGCAUGAAUCCGGAGUGUUGGGAGCUUCACCUGAUGGCUUAGUUGUUCGACCACCAACAUGCAGAAGCCAAAGACGCCAUUCCUGAUAUUGUAGAGGUGAAGCGUCCAUAUACAGCAUCGUCUUCAACAGCAGCAGAUGCAGCACAAAAUUUGAAGGAUUUUUUCAUAGAUAAGUAACAAUUUAUAAGUUGGAUUAAAAAUCUGUGUUGUCCAGUACUUUGAAAUUAAAACUCUUGGUGAGUAAAUGAUUUCAAUACAUGUAUUAAUUUACAAGUGCAACUGUUCAAUAUAGUAUGAAGAUAUGGAAAAAGGAGGGGAUAUGAAUGGGUAUAACACAACUUAAGUGUUUUUGAUUUUUUAGAUAUUAAACAAGAUACCCUACGCCUGAAAACCAGUCACCCAUACUAUCAUCAAAUUCAAGGCCAGCUACACAUAUGUAACAAAACAUGCUGCGACUUAAUUGUGUGGACAAGACUCAAGAGUAGACUGCAUGGUGAUUAGAAUAGUAAAAGACAAUGAAUGGACAGCAAAUGUUUCAAAGCUGAUAGAUUUCUACUUUAACAUUUUCAUUCCAGCACUGAUGGAAAACUGAGUUCUG